AAACCGUCACGCUUGCGAUUCCCUUUCAUCCUCGCAGUCGACAUAACUCUUUCCAGAAAUAUCAAUCGAAGACGUUUUCCCACUAAUUUCACUACCUCCUCUUCAGUUCUCUUUUAAGUCCACCUUCUGCAGCAUGGGUGCUUAUAUAUACCAACCCCAUGAGAGAUGAAACCAAAUCCGUUUCCUUUUCAGGCUAAAGCAAUUACCUUCUACUUAUACAAUCCCUUCAACCAUGGAGAGUUCUGAAGUUAGUUCUCAAGGCCGGCAGUUGCAGCCAAACUGUCCAGACCAGACUCCUGUGAUUUUGGGAGCUGAUGGGCGUCCAUAUUCUGCUCAUUGAUGCAAAGGUUUGUUUAAUUUCUUAUACAAUGAUUAGUAUAAGAUUUGGACCUUGGCAAGUUUUUGUUCACUCAUUACUUCUUUCCCAGGCCUCAAUCAAUGUUCGCCAUCUUAACACCUUCAAAUACCUCUUCAAAAAAUGGUCGCUUUAUGAGCAAAGUGGUUUUGAUGUUGUAAGAAGCAACAUGAACUUCAGGUUUUGUGAUGCUCCUGUCGGAAAUAGAUUCCCAGAGUAGUUGAAGUUGCAUUAACUACUCAACAGAUCUUGACUGAAAGGUUUAGGUUCCACACUUGCGACGAGCUCAUGUCACUUGCGAAUACCAACACUGAUCAUUUGCCAUGUUUGAUUUCAUUAACAUCCCUUACAACACUGAUUUAACACUGAUCUGGGCUUAGAAUUGAUCUUGGUUUGCACAUAUUGUUGGUCAAGUUCCAACAUUAGUUGCAGAUAUUCAUACUUUGGAC
RNAcentral lists this long non-coding RNA (804 nucleotides) under Brassica rapa (field mustard). RNAcentral's name for it is "long non-coding RNA (BRAP_LNC005756)". The record is from RNAcentral. Lineage: Eukaryota; Viridiplantae; Streptophyta; Magnoliopsida; Brassicales; Brassicaceae.